UUAAGAUACAUCUCAUUACUUGACUGGCAACAUUUUCUUCAGCUAAAUCCAAAAAACAUUGACCAGAAAAGCCUCACUCCUCUAGCAGACUGAAUGCUGCUCCCUUAUUUGCAGGCUUUCACCUGGGGCUCCUGAGGGUGUGAGCGUUGUGCCCGGUUGAGCUAUUAAAUGACCAGCAUUUCCCAAAAGAACGUGAAAGAAACAGAAUGAGAUGACAGAUGCCAUCUAAGUGACAAUGUUGCUCUGCACCAAUUUUUUCACUCACUGGAAUGGAUGAUACUUGAGGAAACCAGCUCACUGAUUACUGGUACAAUUGAGCCAGAUCCUUUACAGACAUAAUUUGCUAUGGUUCUUUUGAUUUCACCAGGAUUGUGCCAUCUGAAGCUGAGAUCCAAGAGAUUUUAUAUCCUCUGAGAACCAUAUAUCCUGGAGAAAACUGAUUUAUGUAGAAAAUGGUUUUCACCUAGCAUAACAUACUGUGAAGGAAAAAUGAGAGACAAUUAAACAAACUGUCUGCCUUCCUAAGUUAGAACUUUCUCCAUUCCAGCUAAGGAGAUUCAUGGUGUUCCCUUGGGUGCUGUCACUGGCCACCAGAGAGAAGAGCUCAGUGCCUGCCCCUGCGCUGGCCCUCACAAGGAACACGUGGACUGCCAUGAAGUCUCCUCCAGGCUGAAAAGUCCAAGUGACCUCAGCUGCUCCUGCUACGGCUUCUCCCCUAGACCUGUGUCUCAGAAUGAGCUUGUUUGCAACAUCUUCCAUGGGCGCAUUUCAAGGGAAGAUCAACUAACUUGGUACCUUAUAUCCACAGGGUUUAAGAAAAAUAAGAUCCUCUACCUAGCCAGAGUAAGAGUAUUUGUAAAUAGAAACAGGGAAUUGUGUUGUACUUUCAUGUCUGCUUAGUAAAUUAUUCUGCAGCUAUCUCUGGGACAUAUUUUAAUUUUAAGGCUGGGGAAUAUGGCGAAUACCAUAAAAAGAAUGCCCUGAACACGGCUCCAACAUAUUAAUGUGUGUUUGAACCUCAGUGGUGUGUGUCUGUUCUUUAUGUUGGAAACCACUAUUCUAAAAGAAAAAAAAAAAAAAAAAGGUAAAUUUUGAAAGAUAAAAAAAAUUCCAUUUUAUCUUACCCAAGAUGUAACAUUUUUUAAUGGCCACGUGGUAGUGAAAAGUAGGGAGAUAAUAUAAGGAUUAUUUAAAGUUAUUGUGUAUCUCCUUGCUUAGAACAUAAGUAAUUACAUUAGCACAGUUGACUACAAAAACAUGAAAUAACUUCACAUUAGUUUGUUGAAUCUGUGUUAGUGGACAUCCUUGGUGUGUAAUUCAGAUUAAUAUUUAUAGCUCUGCAUGAAUUUCUCAUACUUGGCUCUGUAAAUUUAGCUUGGAGGACACCAACAACUGUGCUUAGUUUGUAAUGCAAUGAAAAAGUCUAUGCUGAUUGAAGCCUAAAAUUAAUUCAAAAUAUAAAUGUGUAUUUAUGUUUCUGUCUUUCCAAAGUGGCUGAACUUAAAAAUAAACAUUCCAAGGUUUUUUGUUUUUUUUUCAAAAAAGCCUCUCAGCUUCAAGAUACGACGUUCCUACAUUAUAAUGUGGAAGAUGAACUUCCACAUGUAUGUACGUAAUUUUUUCAAAGCAAAAAAUCCUCUUUGAACUUUCAUCUUAAAACCUAAGUCAUGGUUGAAUCUCUUAGAAAAAUUCCUCAUCUGUUCAUUAGAAUUCUGCCUCUGCAUUCAUAGAUUUCCACAUCUUUUUAAAUGCAGUUCUAAAUAUUUUUCUUUCUUUCAAGAAUAAUAUUUUGAAUUAGCAAGAGAGGUCUACUUUUUCUACUUUUCCCACACUAUUCUGUAUUCAGAAGUUCUAAGGUCCUUCCAAGCAAACCAAAUUGACAGCGUAUUGGGGGCUGCUUGCUGAAGCAAAAGGCAGCAGCACUGGUCACAAAGACUACCACAUUAGUACCUGAAAUACCCAUAGGAAAAUUGCAUCCAAAAAAAAAAAUAAUCUCAUAUGAGGGAAGAUAGGCUAUUGAGGCAACUAGCAAAUUAUCCUAGCAGGUAGCUGGAACUGAUGAAGAAAAACAUGUCCUUUUAAAUAAGAAAUAGCUGUUAGGGUCUAAGGAAACAUAUUAAACUAAUAAAUACUCAGAUUGAUGCAUGAAUUGCAAUGCUCAUGUAUUACCAGAUAUUAACAUGAAAGAUAAGGCCCAGAUUAAGCAAAGGCAGGGUUUGUGCCUAAUUUAAGUAGACCUCCAAAAAUAUUUGAAACAUUAUUCCACUGUCAACAGAUAACACAUUUUAAAUUGUCUGUAUUCCCAUUUGAAUCCAUGGAAAGAUGUUUGUCUGUCCAGGAUAUGACAAUGAAAAAAAUCACAAUACAUCAAAAUUUUACUAAAUUCAUCAGAGAGGUUUUUUGCUGUGCUUUUAUUUUUUGGUGGUUUUUUUUUGUUUUGUUUUUUUUUGGUUUUUUUUUAUUUAUUUUGCUUGCUUUUGUUAGUAGCAAAAUCACAAAAGGCAAAUCAUAGAUUUUAGCAGUGUUUUAACAAUGGUUCCUGUCUUUAUUUUUGUAAACUGAACAUAGAUGGUUUUUGGCUUUACUGCCAUUAAUUUGAGAUGAUGUAGAUAAGACAAGCAACUCCAUUCAUGAAAUCAAAUUCUGCUUGUAAGUAUGCCUUUCAAGCAAAAGGAAGAUCUGUAUUUCUUCUAAGUGUUUGCAGGUCGUGCAUCUGUGUUAACUCAAAUAAUGAAAGCCAGGAUUGAUGAUUGGCUGAUUCAGUAAAGCUCUUGCCAACAAUUUUCAGAGAUUAGGAGGUUGUUGGAAAGAUAUCAAUGAAGGUUUAGGGAUCACUGUCUGAAGUAUUCUAAAUUAACAGCUAAUGGAUGUUUUUAAUAGCUCUUUUAUAGAUGAGUGCAGCUGAAUGAAAACCGACAAGAAAGCUCAGCUUUGCUUGGUAUGAGCUUUAACUUUUUUUCACACAUGAUGACCUGCCUCUGCACUAGCUUUCUCACUUUGUUUCUGCACAGGGUAAAAAUUCAUUUAUUUUAUAGUUAAUAAACAUAUCCACACACACUUUAAUCUUUUUGGGGUUUUUUGCUUCAUUUUUUUGUGUUGUUGUUUUUUUAAGUAGUAGAGAAUGGUUUUUUUCUUAAAAUGCUGCAUAUACCCAGUGCUGAACUACUCUUUUCCAAAGAUUUGUUCAUCCAUCCUGCUACUUCUGGCAAAGUUCUGUUCUUGCAGAAAUGGUGAGCAGACAUGAAAAAAAUGAAUACUCUUUGAUUAUAGCUGGUGUAAUCAAGUUGUCUGACCUUCCUGGUGCACAAAGAGACAUGACUUGGGUAUUCAAUAUUCAAUUUCAGUGGCCCAAAGAGAUGAAUAAAUAUAAGGGAGACAGAGUUCAUAUGAAAGUAUACCACUGGGACAGAAAAUAAAUGUCUUGAGGUUGUUUUUUGCACUGGAGCUCAUGUGAUUCUGAUCAUCUCUGUUGAUGCCAAAGGGCUGUCAAAAGACUAUUUUUGUCAUAGAAGGGGGAGAGAUGUGACAUCAUUGCUUCUGCUUAGUUCACAGGUGCUUAAAAUUAUCUAAAUGUUUUAACUCUCAAAAUUCUGCCAAGAGGGAUUCAGUGACUAUCUCUUUCAAUAAAAAACUAUUUGUGCUUAUACAUGUGCUCUUUUCCCUUCUGCACUCUGAGCAUAUCAGAUGAAUAAAAAAUAUAGUUUAAAAUUUUGCAUUUACCUUGAGGUAGACAAAAUAUUCAGCAAAGAAAUAUCUUUUCUAAAUACUGAGGCUUUUCUGUUAAUAUAGAAACAAUUUUUUAAAAUAUCCAAAUGAAAAACAACACAUAUUCUUGAAAUUGACCUGACAUCAAAGAGAUGCCAGUUAAACAUCAUUUUAGAACUAUUUGUCAAAUCUCUAUUUCUACUCACAGACAGGCUGGGUGAGGAAAACAUGAUGUUACUGGAUGUUUAUGUGUGGAUAGCUAAGUCAAACUAUAUAUUUCCAGUGACUGUAAUUGUAGCUUAGACAUCUAGGACCAAUGUGAAAAAUACAUUUAGAGAAUAUGUUUUGGUGUCUGAAACUGGAGUGAAAACUUGCUAUAAAAAUCUUUAGAUUAUGUAUCAAUAAAAUAACAGUUAUUUCA
This is a non-coding RNA of Zonotrichia albicollis (white-throated sparrow), 4126 nucleotides long. NCBI's taxonomy places the organism in Eukaryota, Metazoa, Chordata, Aves, Passeriformes, Passerellidae. The record is from RefSeq and is a predicted model, not a curated record.